This 274-nucleotide ribosomal RNA is filed under the name uncultured bacterium. Its description in RNAcentral is "partial 16S ribosomal RNA". It matches the Rfam family "Bacterial small subunit ribosomal RNA", at positions 523 to 796 of the family's 1533-position model. The record is from RNAcentral.
AUACGGAGGGAGCAAGCGUUAUUCGGAAUCACUGGGCGUAAAGCGCGCGCAGGCGGCUUGAUAAGUUGGAUGUGAAAGCCUACGGCUCAACCGUAGAACUGCAUCCAAAACUGUCAGGCUAGAGUGUGGGAGAGGAAGAUGGAAUUAGUUGUGUAGGGGUAAAAUCCGUAGAGAUAACUAGGAAUACCAAAAGCGAAGGCAAUCUUCUGGAACAUUACUGACGCUGAGGCGCGAAAGCGUGGGGAGCAAACAGGAUUAGAAACCCCGGUAGUCC